AACAACCCAGAGUACGCGGGGGUCAAGUGAAGAAGCGCAUACGGUGGAUGCCUUGGCAGUCAGAGGCGAUGAAAGACGUGGUAGCCUGCGAAAAGCUUCGGGGAGUCGGCAAACAGACUGUGAUCCGGAGAUGUCUGAAUGGGGGAACCCAGCCAUCACAAGAUGGUUAUCUUGCACUGAAUACAUAGGUGCAAGAGGCGAACCAGGGGAACUGAAACAUCUAAGUACCCUGAGGAAAAGAAAUCAACCGAGAUUCCCUUAGUAGUGGCGAGCGAACGGGGACUAGCCCUUAAGCUUCUUUGAUUUUAGCGGAACGCUCUGGAAAGUGCGGCCAUAGUGGGUGAUAGCCCUGUACGCGAAAGGAUCUUAGAAGUGAAAUCGAGUAGGACGGAGCACGAGAAACUUUGUCUGAAUAUGGGGGGACCAUCCUCCAAGGCUAAAUACUACUGACUGACCGAUAGUGAACUAGUACCGUGAGGGAAAAAA
RNAcentral lists this ribosomal RNA (486 nucleotides) under Plasmodiophora brassicae. RNAcentral's name for it is "partial 23S ribosomal RNA". It matches the Rfam family "Bacterial large subunit ribosomal RNA", at positions 1 to 515 of the family's 2925-position model. The record is from RNAcentral. Lineage: Eukaryota; Endomyxa; Phytomyxea; Plasmodiophorida; Plasmodiophoridae.